GUGCUUAGAUUGGCAGCGCAUAGAGUUGGAAAGACAGGGGCAGAUUGGCACGGUCUCUGCCCAAGGAUGACGUGCAAAUUUAGAAGCAUUCCAGUCUUUU
This 100-nucleotide small nuclear RNA is filed under the name Ailuropoda melanoleuca (giant panda). Lineage: Eukaryota; Metazoa; Chordata; Mammalia; Carnivora; Ursidae. The record is from RNAcentral.